Molecule: microRNA precursor, 60 nt
Filed under: Python bivittatus (Burmese python)
Lineage: Eukaryota; Metazoa; Chordata; Lepidosauria; Squamata; Pythonidae
Description: Pbv-Mir-124-P4b-v1_pre stem-loop
Rfam family: mir-124 microRNA precursor family
About the family: The mature ~21nt miRNAs are processed from hairpin precursor sequences represented here, in this case originating from the 3' arm.
Source: RNAcentral
CGUGUUCACAGCGGACCUUGAUUUAAUUUCGAUACAAUUAAGGCACGCGGUGAAUGCCAA